AAAGUUGAAACUGUACAUAAAAACAAACACGAUGAGGUGAAAGCCAAGCUUACUCUCAACUACCGCAAGAGCUUUCGAUUCUUCGGGUUUCUCCUCCGUUGAUGGUGGAGACACGGUUUUUUCUUCAGAUUCAGCUUUUGGAGCCUCCAAUGUCGGCGGUGGAGCCACUGUGGUUUCAGCUUCAGCUUGCUUCUUCCCCUCCUCGGCCAUAAUUUAGAUUGAUCGGUGCUUGUGGAAAACAAACGAAAAUUUCGUUAGGA
This is a long non-coding RNA of Hibiscus syriacus, 260 nucleotides long. RefSeq lists it as uncharacterized. The record is from RefSeq and is a predicted model, not a curated record. NCBI's taxonomy places the organism in Eukaryota, Viridiplantae, Streptophyta, Magnoliopsida, Malvales, Malvaceae. The transcript is spliced from 2 exons.